RNAcentral lists this ribosomal RNA (114 nucleotides) under uncultured bacterium. RNAcentral describes it as "partial 16S ribosomal RNA". It matches the Rfam family "Bacterial small subunit ribosomal RNA", at positions 1369 to 1482 of the family's 1533-position model. The record is from RNAcentral.
CGUUCCCGGCCUUGUACACACCGCCCGUCACACCACGAAAGUCGGCAACACCCGAAGCCAGUGGCCCAACCCGCAAGGGGGGAGCUGUCGAAGGUGGGGUCGGUGAUUGGGGUG